RNAcentral lists this ribosomal RNA (490 nucleotides) under uncultured bacterium. RNAcentral's name for it is "partial 16S ribosomal RNA". It matches the Rfam family "Bacterial small subunit ribosomal RNA", at positions 30 to 507 of the family's 1533-position model. The record is from RNAcentral.
AUUGAACGCUGGCGGCAGGCCUAACACAUGCAAGUCGAACGGUAACAGGAAGAAGCUUGCUUCUUUGCUGACGAGUGGCGGACGGGUGAGUAAUGUCUGGGAAACUGCCUGAUGGAGGGGGAUAACUACUGGAAACGGUAGCUAAUACCGCAUAACGUCGCAAGACCAAAGAGGGGGACCUUCGGGCCUCUUGCCAUCGGAUGUGCCCAGAUGGGAUUAGCUAGUAGGUGGGGUAACGGCUCACCUAGGCGACGAUCCCUAGCUGGUCUGAGAGGAUGACCAGCCACACUGGAACUGAGACACGGUCCAGACUCCUACGGGAGGCAGCAGUGGGGAAUAUUGCACAAUGGGCGCAAGCCUGAUGCAGCCAUGCCGCGUGUAUGAAGAAGGCCUUCGGGUUUUAAAGUACUUUCAGCGGGGAGGAAGGGAGUAAAGUUAAUACCUUUGCUCAUUGACGUUACCCGCAGAAGAAGCACCGGCUAACUCCGUG